CCUACGGGAGGCAGCAGUGAGGAAUAUUGGUCAAUGGACGAGAGUCUGACCCAGCCAAGUAGCGUGAAGGAUGACUGCCCUAUGGGUUGUAAACUUCUUUUAUAUGGGAAUAAAAUGUUCCACGUGUGGGAUUUUGUAUGUACCAUAUGAAUAAGGAUCGGCUAACUCCGUGCCAGCAGCCGCGGUAAUACGGAGGAUCCGAGCGUUAUCCGGAUUUAUUGGGUUUAAGGGGUGCGUAGGCGGAGCGUUAAGUCAGUGGUAAAAUUGAGGGGCUCAACCCCUUCCCGCCAUUGAAACUGGCGCUCUUGAGUGGAAGAGAAGUAUGCGGAAUGCGUGGUGUAGCGGUGAAAUGCAUAGAUAUCACGCAGAACCCCGAUUGCGAAGGCAGCAUGCCGGCUUCCGACUGACGCUGAAGCACGAAAGCGUGGGGAUCGAACAGGAUUAGAUACCCUGGUAGUC
This 459-nucleotide ribosomal RNA is filed under the name uncultured bacterium. RNAcentral's name for it is "partial 16S ribosomal RNA". It matches the Rfam family "Bacterial small subunit ribosomal RNA", at positions 338 to 795 of the family's 1533-position model. The record is from RNAcentral.